CCCUACGGGGCGCAGCAGGCGCGAAAACUCUACAAUGCAGGCAACUGCGAUAGGGGAACAUCGAGUGGCGGUCAUAUUGAUCGUCUGUCCAUCCGCCUAAAAAGCGGGUGUUAGCAAGGGCCGGGCAAGACCGGUGCCAGCCGCCGCGGUAAUACCGGCGGCUCGAGUGGUGGCCGAUAUUAUUGAGUCUAAAGGGUCCGUAGCCGGCUUUGCAAGUCUCUCGGGAAAUCCAGCGGCUUAACCGUUGGUCGUCCGGGGGGUACUACAUUGCUUGGGACUGGGAGAGGUAGGAGGUACUCAGGGGGUAGGAGUGAAAUCCUGUAAUCCA
This 328-nucleotide ribosomal RNA is filed under the name uncultured archaeon. RNAcentral describes it as "bacterial SSU rRNA". It matches the Rfam family "Archaeal small subunit ribosomal RNA", at positions 321 to 649 of the family's 1478-position model. The record is from RNAcentral.